GAUUAACGCUGGCGGCGUGCAUAACACAUGCAAGUCGAACGAUGAAACUUAACUGAUCUCUUCGGAAUGAUUUUAAGUGGAUUAGUGGCGGACGGGUGAGUAACGCGUGAGUAACCUGCCUUGGAGAAGGGGAUAGCCUUUGGAAACGAAGAAUAAUACCCUAUGAUAUGAUAAUAUCUCAUGAUAUUAUCAUCAAAGAUUUAUCGCUCUAAGAUGGACUUGCGUCUGAUUAGUUAGUUGGUGAGGUAACAGCUCACCAAGGCAGCGAUCAGUAGCCGGCUUGAGAGAGUGUACGGCCACAUUGGGACUGAGACACGGCCCAGACUCCUACGGGAGGCAGCAGUGGGGAAUUUUGCACAAUGGGGGAAACCCUGAUGCAGCGACGCCGCGUGAUUUAGAAGGCCUUCGGGUUGUAAAAAUCUUUUGUAUGGGAAGAAAAUGACAGUACCAUACGAAUAAGGACCGGCUAAUUACGUG
This 477-nucleotide ribosomal RNA is filed under the name uncultured bacterium. Its description in RNAcentral is "partial 16S ribosomal RNA". It matches the Rfam family "Bacterial small subunit ribosomal RNA", at positions 28 to 507 of the family's 1533-position model. The record is from RNAcentral.